RNAcentral lists this transfer RNA (85 nucleotides) under Chlamydia trachomatis. Its description in RNAcentral is "tRNA-Leu(taa)". It matches the Rfam family "tRNA". From Rfam's summary of the family: Transfer RNA (tRNA) molecules are approximately 80 nucleotides in length. Their secondary structure includes four short double-helical elements and three loops (D, anti-codon, and T loops). Further hydrogen bonds mediate the characteristic L-shaped molecular structure. tRNAs have two regions of fundamental functional importance: the anti-codon, which is responsible for specific mRNA codon recognition, and the 3' end, to which the tRNAs corresponding amino acid is attached (by aminoacyl-tRNA synthetases). tRNAs cope with the degeneracy of the genetic code in two manners: having more than one tRNA (with a specific anti-codon) for a particular amino acid; and 'wobble' base-pairing, i.e. permitting non-standard base-pairing at the 3rd anti-codon position. RNAcentral also lists the same sequence under 3 other names. The record is from RNAcentral. Lineage: Bacteria; Pseudomonadati; Chlamydiota; Chlamydiia; Chlamydiales; Chlamydiaceae.
GGGGGCGUGGUGGAAUUGGCAGACGCAGAGGACUUAAAAUCCUCCGACUUCGGUCAUGUGGGUUCGAGUCCCACCGCCCCCACCA